ACGAACGCUGGCGGCGUGCCUAAUACAUGCAAGUCGAACGGUCUUUCUAUGGAAGCUUGCUUCCACUGAGAAGAUAGUGGCGAACGGGUGAGUAACACGUGGGUAACCUGCCCAUAAGAGGGGGAUAACAUCCGGAAACGGGUGCUAAUACCGCAUAGUUUUCCUGAUCGCAUGAUCGGGAAAGGAAAGACGGCCUUUGUGCUGUCGCUUAUGGAUGGACCCGCGGCGUAUUAGUUAGUUGGUGAGGUAACGGCUCACCAAGACGAUGAUACGUAGCCGACCUGAGAGGGUGAUCGGCCACAUUGGGACUGAGACACGGCCCAAACUCCUACGGGAGGCAGCAGUAGGGAAUCUUCCGCAAUGGACGAAAGUCUGACGGAGCAACGCCGCGUGAGUGAAGAAGGUUUUCGGAAUCGUAAAACUCUGUUGUCAGAGAAGAACAAGUUGGAGAGUAACUGCUCCAGCCUUGACGGUAUCUGACCAGAAAGCCACGGCUAGCUACGUGCCAGCAGCCGC
RNAcentral lists this ribosomal RNA (516 nucleotides) under uncultured bacterium. RNAcentral describes it as "bacterial SSU rRNA". It matches the Rfam family "Bacterial small subunit ribosomal RNA", at positions 29 to 518 of the family's 1533-position model. The record is from RNAcentral.